RNAcentral lists this unclassified non-coding RNA (386 nucleotides) under uncultured Penicillium. RNAcentral describes it as "sequence contains ITS2". The stretch from base 1 to 154 matches the Rfam family "5.8S ribosomal RNA". Lineage: Eukaryota; Fungi; Ascomycota; Eurotiomycetes; Eurotiales; Aspergillaceae. The record is from RNAcentral.
AACUUUUGGCAACGGAUCUCUUGGUUCCGGCAUCGAUGCAGAACGCAGCGAAACGCGAUAGUUAAUGUGAAUUGCAGAAUUCAGUGAAUCAUCGAGUCUUUGAACGCACAUUGCGCCCCCUGGUAUUCCGGGGGGCAUGCCUGUCCGAGCGUCAUUGCUGCCCAUCAAGCGCGGCUUGUGUGUUGGGCCGCCGUCCCGCCCCCCGGGGAGGGACGGGCCCGAAAGGCAGCGGCGGCACCGCGUCCGGUCCUCGAGCGUAUGGGGCUCUGUCACCCGCUCUGGAGGCCCGGCCGGCGCCCGCCGACCCCCAACCUUCUUCUAACCAGGUUGACCUCGGAUCAGGUAGGGAUACCCGCUGAACUUAAGCAUAUCAAUAAGCGGAGGCU